This 106-nucleotide ribosomal RNA is filed under the name Erinaceus europaeus (western European hedgehog). Lineage: Eukaryota; Metazoa; Chordata; Mammalia; Eulipotyphla; Erinaceidae. The record is from RNAcentral.
GUCUACAGCCAUAAAUCCCUGAACACGCCCAACUCAUCUGAUCUCGGAAGCUAAGCAGGGUCGGGCCUGACUAGUACUUGGGUGGGAGAAUAGGAAAUCAUAGACU